Molecule: ribosomal RNA, 321 nt
Filed under: Morganella morganii subsp. morganii
Lineage: Bacteria; Pseudomonadati; Pseudomonadota; Gammaproteobacteria; Enterobacterales; Morganellaceae
Description: bacterial SSU rRNA
Rfam family: Bacterial small subunit ribosomal RNA
Source: RNAcentral
UAAUUGAAGAGUUUGAUCAUGGCUCAGAUUGAACGCUGGCGGCAGGCCUAACACAUGCAAGUCGGGCGGUAACAGGGGGAAGCUUGCUUCUCUGCUGACGAGCGGCGGACGGGUGAGUAAUGUAUGGGGAUCUGCCUGAUGGAGGGGGAUAACUACUGGAAACGGUAGCUAAUACCGCAUAAUGUCUUCGGACCAAAGCGGGGGACCUCAGGGCCUCGCGCCAUCAGAUGAACCCAUAUGGGAUUAGCUAGUAGGUGAGGUAACGGCUUACCUAGGCGACGAUCCCUAGCUGGUCUGAGAGGAUGAUCAGCCACACUGGGA